AACAAGUGUUAAGCGUGAAGGAUUUGAACCUGCAGCAGGUUCGAGUUGAGCGAAGCGAAACAACGUUGCCAUAAGCAACGGGCCGAGAGGCCGAGGCGUAGCCGAGUUAUCCUGCACGACCCACCA
This 126-nucleotide small RNA is filed under the name Erwinia billingiae. RNAcentral describes it as "RtT sRNA". It matches the Rfam family "RtT RNA". From Rfam's summary of the family: This family represents a bacterial cis-regulatory element known as RtT RNA. The exact function of RtT is unknown although it is thought that it may be involved in changing the cellular response in relation to amino acid starvation. Lineage: Bacteria; Pseudomonadati; Pseudomonadota; Gammaproteobacteria; Enterobacterales; Erwiniaceae. The record is from RNAcentral.